UACGGAGGAUGCAAGCGUUAUCCGGAUUCAUUGGGUUUAAAGGGUGCGCAGGCGGAUUGAUAAGUCAGGGGUGAAAUCCCACAGCUCAACUGUGGAACUGCCCUUGAUACUGUUAGUCUAGAGUAUAGUUGAAGUGGGCGGAAUGUGUCAUGUAGCGGUGAAAUGCUUAGAUAUGACACAGAACUCCGAUAGCGAAGGCAGCUCACUAAACUAUAACUGACGCUGAGGCACGAAAGCGUGGGGAUCAAACAGG
RNAcentral lists this ribosomal RNA (253 nucleotides) under uncultured bacterium. RNAcentral's name for it is "partial 16S ribosomal RNA". It matches the Rfam family "Bacterial small subunit ribosomal RNA", at positions 524 to 776 of the family's 1533-position model. The record is from RNAcentral.